This 85-nucleotide non-coding RNA is filed under the name Marinisporobacter balticus. The record is from RNAcentral. Lineage: Bacteria; Bacillati; Bacillota; Clostridia; Peptostreptococcales; Thermotaleaceae.
GAAAACCGUAUGAGGGAAAACUUCACGUACGGUUUGAUGAGGAGAUGGGGGAAGAGAUUAAAUCAAAUCCACCGUUUUACUCUAU